This 74-nucleotide transfer RNA is filed under the name Candidatus Kaiserbacteria bacterium CG10_big_fil_rev_8_21_14_0_10_47_16. RNAcentral's name for it is "tRNA-Gln". It matches the Rfam family "tRNA". From Rfam's summary of the family: Transfer RNA (tRNA) molecules are approximately 80 nucleotides in length. Their secondary structure includes four short double-helical elements and three loops (D, anti-codon, and T loops). Lineage: Bacteria; Candidatus Kaiseribacteriota. The record is from RNAcentral.
UGCCGGUUCGUCUAAUGGUAGGACUCUGGUUUCUGGUACCAGCUAUUGGGGUUCGAGUCCCUGACCGGCAGCUA